GGGGAAUAUUGCACAAUGGGCGCAAGCCUGAUGCAGCCAUGCCGCGUGUAUGAAGAAGGCCUUCGGGUUGUAAAGUACUCUCAGCGAGGAGGAAGGCGUUAAGGUUAAUAACCUUAGCGAUUGACGUUACUCGCAGAGGAAGCACCGGCUAACUCCGUGCCAGCAGCCGCGGUAAUACGGAGGGUGCAAGCGUUAAUCGGAAUUACUGGGCGUAAAGCGCACGCAGGCGGUCUGUCAAGUCGGAUGUGAAAUCCCCGGGCUCAACCUGGGAACUGCAUUCGAAACUGGCAGGCUAGAGUCUUGUAGAGGGGGGUAGGAUUCCAGGUGUAGCGGUGAAAUGCGUAGAGAUCUGGAGGAAUACCGGUGGCGAAGGCGGCCCCCUGGACAAAGACUGACGCUCAGGUGCGAAAGCGUGGGGAGCAAAC
RNAcentral lists this ribosomal RNA (425 nucleotides) under uncultured bacterium. Its description in RNAcentral is "bacterial SSU rRNA". It matches the Rfam family "Bacterial small subunit ribosomal RNA", at positions 356 to 773 of the family's 1533-position model. The record is from RNAcentral.